This 253-nucleotide ribosomal RNA is filed under the name uncultured bacterium. RNAcentral describes it as "partial 16S ribosomal RNA". It matches the Rfam family "Bacterial small subunit ribosomal RNA", at positions 524 to 776 of the family's 1533-position model. The record is from RNAcentral.
GACAGAGGCCCCAAGCGUUAGGCGGAAUCACUGGGCUUAAAGCGUGUGUAGGCGGCUCGUUAAGUGUCUUGUGAAAUCCCACGGCUCACCCGUGGAACUGCUGGGCAUACUGGCGAUCUUGGGCCAACUAGGGGCAGUCGGAACAAGCGGUGGAGCGGUGAAAUGCGUAGAUAUCGCUUGGAACGCCGAAGGUGAAAACAGACUGCUGGGGUUGCGCCGACGCUGAGACACGAAAGCCAGGGGAGCAAACGGG